This 1500-nucleotide ribosomal RNA is filed under the name uncultured bacterium. RNAcentral describes it as "bacterial SSU rRNA". It matches the Rfam family "Bacterial small subunit ribosomal RNA". The record is from RNAcentral.
UUGAUCCUGGCUCAGGACGAACGCUGGCGGCGUGCCUAAUGAAUGCGAGUCGAACGGAACAUAGAGAUCGUGAUUGCUUUCGGGCGGUCACCCUUUAUGUUUAGUGGCAAACGGGUGAGUAACACGUGGAUAACGUGCCUUCAAGCCGAGGAUAACAGGGCGAGAGUCCUGCUAAUACUCGAUGGUCUGCCCCUGCUUUGGCGGGGACCAGUAAAGCUCCGGCGCUUGGAGAUCGGUCCGCGGUCCAUUAGCUUGUUGGUGGGGUAAUGGCCCACCAAGGCGACAAUGGGUAGCUGGUCUGAGAGGACGAUCAGCCACACUGGGACUGAGACAUGGUCCAGACUCCUACGGGAGGCAGCAGUGGGGAAUAUUGCACAAUGGGCGAAAGCCUGAUGCAGCGACGCCGCGUGGAGGAUGAAGGCCUUCGGGUCGUAAACUCCUGUCUGGGGGGAUGAAUUUUUGACAGUACCCCCGGAGGAAGCCCCGGCUAACUACGUGCCAGCAGCCGCGGUAAUACGUAGGGGGCAAGCGUUGUCCGGAAUUACUGGGCGUAAAGCGCGCGUAGGUGGCUUGUUAAGUCAGGUGUCAAAAUGCGGAGCUCAACUCCGCAGCGCACUUGAAACUGGCAGGCUUGAGUGCAGGAGAGGAAAGUGGAAUUCCUAGUGUAGCGGUGAAAUGCGUAGAUAUUAGGAGGAACACCAGUGGCGAAGGCGACUUUCUGGACUGCAACUGACACUGAGGCGCGAAAGCUAGGGGAGCAAACAGGAUUAGAUACCCUGGUAGUCCUAGCCGUAAACGAUGGGUACUAGGUGUUGGGGGUGACAAUCCUCCAGUGCCGCGGUUAACGCAUUAAGUACCCCGCCUGGGGACUACGGCCGCAAGGCUGAAACUCAAAGGAAUUGACGGGGGCCCGCACAAGCAGCGGAGCAUGUGGUUUAAUUCGAUGCAACGCGAAAAACCUUACCAGGGCUUGACAUCCUCUGAAGCUAUAAGAGAUUAUAGUGUCCCUUCGGGGCAGAGAGACAGGUGGUGCAUGGUUGUCGUCAGCUCGUGUCGUGAGAUGUUGGGUUAAGUCCCGCAACGAGCGCAACCCUUAUUCUCAGUUGCCAGCACGCAAAGGUGGGCACUCUGAGGAGACUGCCGGUGACAAACCGGAGGAAGGUGGGGAUGACGUCAAAUCAUCAUGCCCCUUAUGUCCUGGGCUACACACGUGCUACAAUGGCCUGAACAACGGGCGUGCGAAGGAGCGAUCCGGAGCAAAUCCCUUAAAUCAGGUCCCAGUUCGGAUUGCAGGCUGCAACUCGCCUGCAUGAAGCAGGAGUUGCUAGUAAUCGCGGAUCAGCAUGCCGCGGUGAAUGCGUUCCCGGGCCUUGUACACACCGCCCGUCACACCACGAAAGUUUGCAACACCCGAAGCCGGUGAGCUAACCGUAAGGAGGCAGCCGUCGAAGGUGGGGCAGAUAAUUGGGGUGAAGUCGUAACAAGGUAACCGUAAUCUCU